AAUGGCGCCACUAGGGUUGUGC
This 22-nucleotide non-coding RNA is filed under the name Pteropus alecto (black flying fox). Its record names the gene pal-miR-652-3p. Lineage: Eukaryota; Metazoa; Chordata; Mammalia; Chiroptera; Pteropodidae. RNAcentral also lists the same sequence under 4 other names. The record is from miRBase by way of RNAcentral.